RNAcentral lists this transfer RNA (85 nucleotides) under Felis catus (domestic cat). It matches the Rfam family "tRNA". Rfam says of the family: Transfer RNA (tRNA) molecules are approximately 80 nucleotides in length. Their secondary structure includes four short double-helical elements and three loops (D, anti-codon, and T loops). Further hydrogen bonds mediate the characteristic L-shaped molecular structure. tRNAs have two regions of fundamental functional importance: the anti-codon, which is responsible for specific mRNA codon recognition, and the 3' end, to which the tRNAs corresponding amino acid is attached (by aminoacyl-tRNA synthetases). tRNAs cope with the degeneracy of the genetic code in two manners: having more than one tRNA (with a specific anti-codon) for a particular amino acid; and 'wobble' base-pairing, i.e. permitting non-standard base-pairing at the 3rd anti-codon position. The record is from Rfam by way of RNAcentral. Lineage: Eukaryota; Metazoa; Chordata; Mammalia; Carnivora; Felidae.
GCCUGGGUGGCUCAGUCGGUUGAGCGUCCGACUUCAGCUCAGAUCAUGAUCUCGUGGUUCGUGGGUUUGAGUCCCACGUCGGGCU